GACGAACGCUGGCGGCGUGCUUAACACAUGCGAGUCGAGCGAUGAAGCUCCUUCGGGAGUGGAUUAGCGGCGGACGGGUGAGUAACACGUGGGUAACCUGCCUCAUAGAGGGGAAUAGCCUUUCGAAAGGAAGAUUAAUACCGCAUAAGAUUGUAGUACCGCAUGGUACAGCAAUUAAAGGAGUAAUCCGCUAUGAGAUGGACCCGCGUCGCAUUAGCUAGUUGGGGAGGUAACGGCUCACCAAGGCGACGAUGCGUAGCCGACCUGAGCGGGGGAUCGGCCACAUUGGGACUGCGACACGGCCCAGCCUCCUACGGGAGGCAGCAGUGGGGAAUAUUGCACAAUGGGGGAAACCCUGAUGCAGCAACGCCGCGUGAGUGAUGACGGUCUUCGGAUUGUAAAGCUCUGUCUUUAGGGACGAUAAUGACGGUACCUAAGGAGGAAGCCACGGCUAACUACGUGCCAGCCGCCGCCGUAA
This 478-nucleotide ribosomal RNA is filed under the name uncultured bacterium. RNAcentral's name for it is "partial 16S ribosomal RNA". It matches the Rfam family "Bacterial small subunit ribosomal RNA", at positions 28 to 523 of the family's 1533-position model. The record is from RNAcentral.